RNAcentral lists this ribosomal RNA (834 nucleotides) under uncultured deep-sea bacterium. RNAcentral's name for it is "bacterial SSU rRNA". It matches the Rfam family "Bacterial small subunit ribosomal RNA", at positions 644 to 1498 of the family's 1533-position model. The record is from RNAcentral.
GAGGACAGGAGAGGUAGAUGGAAUUGCCGGUGUAGCGGUAAAAUGUGUUAAUAUCGGCAAGAACACCAAAUGCGAAGGCUUUCUACUAGAAUGUUCCUGACGCUCAGAGACGAAAGCGUGGGUAGCGAAUGGGAUUAGAUACCCCAGUAGUCCACGCCGUAAACGAUGAAUGCUUGACAUUGGGAGUUUCGACCCUUUCAGUGUCGUUUAACUAAGCUAACGCAUUAAGCAUUCCGCCUGGGUAGUACGAGCGCAAGCUUAAAACUCAAAGGAAUUGACGGGGACCCGCACAAGCGGUGGAGCAUGUGGUUUAAUUCGACAAUAAGCGAGGAACCUUACCAGGGCUUGACAUGAUACUGCAAAUCUUUCGAAAGAAAGACUCCUUCGAGGGUGUAUCACAGGUGCUGCAUGGUUGUCGUCAGCUCGUGUCGUGAGAUGUACCGUUAAGUCGGGUAACGAGCGCAACCCCUACUCUGUGUUAAAUCAUUCUCAGAGAACUGCCUGCUCAUCGCAGGAGGAAGGCGGGGACGACGUCAAAUCAGCAUGGCUCUUACGCCCUGGGCGACACACGUGCUACAAUGGCCAGCACAAAGGGCCGCCAAAUCGAAAGAUGGAGCAAAUCCCAUAAAACUGGUCUAAGUUCGAAUUGAGGUCUGCAACUCGACCUCAUGAAGUUGGAAUCGCUAGUAACCGUGUAUCAGCCACGACGCGGUGAAUACGUUCUCGGGUCUUGUACACACCGCCCGUCACGUCAAGGGAGUUGAUAGCACCCAAAUGCCGUUGUAGGAUGGCAAAAGGUGAGAUCAGCAACAGGGACGAAGUCGUAACAAGGUA